This 548-nucleotide ribosomal RNA is filed under the name uncultured bacterium. RNAcentral's name for it is "bacterial SSU rRNA". It matches the Rfam family "Bacterial small subunit ribosomal RNA", at positions 355 to 896 of the family's 1533-position model. The record is from RNAcentral.
UGGGGAAUUUUGGACAAUGGGCGAANGCCUGAUCCAGCAAUGCCGCGUGCAGGAUGAAGGCCCUCGGGUUGUAAACUGCUUUUGUACGGAACGAAAAGCCUGGGGCUAAUAUCCCCGGGUCAUGACGGUACCGUAAGAAUAAGCACCGGCUAACUACGUGCCAGCAGCCGCGGUAAUACGUAGGGUGCAAGCGUUAAUCGGAAUUACUGGGCGUAAAGCGUGCGCAGGCGGUUUUGUAAGACAGUGGUGAAAUCCCCGGGCUCAACCUGGGAACUGCCAUUGUGACUGCAAAGCUAGAGUGCGGCAGAGGGGGAUGGAAUUCCGCGUGUAGCAGUGAAAUGCGUAGAUAUGCGGAGGAACACCGAUGGCGAAGGCAAUCCCCUGGGCCUGCACUGACGCUCAUGCACGAAAGCGUGGGGAGCAAACAGGAUUAGAUACCCUGGUAGUCCACGCCCUAAACGAUGUCAACUGGUUGUUGGGUCUUAACUGACUCAGUAACGAAGCUAACGCGUGAAGUUGACCGCCUGGGGAGUACGGCCGCAAGGUUA